GACGAACGCUGGCGGCGUGCUUAACACAUGCAAGUCGAACGGAAAGGCCCUGCUUUUGUGGGGUGCUCGAGUGGCGAACGGGUGAGUAACACGUGAGUAACCUGCCCUUGACUUUGGGAUAACUUCAGGAAACUGGGGCUAAUACCGGAUAGGAGCUCCUGCUGCAUGGUGGGGGUUGGAAAGUUUCGGCGGUUGGGGAUGGACUCGCGGCUUAUCAGCUUGUUGGUGGGGUAGUGGCUUACCAAGGCUUUGACGGGUAGCCGGCCUGAGAGGGUGACCGGCCACAUUGGGACUGAGAUACGGCCCAGACUCCUACGGGAGGCAGCAGUGGGGAAUAUUGCACAAUGGGCGGAAGCCUGAUGCAGCAACGCCGCGUGCGGGAUGACGGCCUUCGGCUUGUAAACCGCUUUCGCCUGUGACGAAGCGUGAGUGACGGUAAUGGGUAAAGAAGCACCGGCUAACUACGUG
This 468-nucleotide ribosomal RNA is filed under the name uncultured bacterium. RNAcentral's name for it is "partial 16S ribosomal RNA". It matches the Rfam family "Bacterial small subunit ribosomal RNA", at positions 28 to 507 of the family's 1533-position model. The record is from RNAcentral.